GACGAACGCUGGCGGCGUGCCUAAUACAUGCAAGUAGAACGCUGAAGGCGGAUCUUGCUUCUCUGGAUGAGUUGCGAACGGGUGAGUAACGCGUAGGUAACCUGCCUGUUAGCGGGGGAUAACUGUUGGAAACGAUAGCUAAUACCGCAUAAUAGUAGAUGUUGCAUGACAUUUGCUUAAAAGGUGCAAUUGCAUCACUACCAGAUGGACCUGCGUUGUAGUAGCUAGUUGGUGGGGUAACGGCUCACCAAGGCGACGAUACAUAGCCGACCUGCGAGGGUGAUCGGCCACACUGGGACUGGGACACGGCCCAGACUCCUACGGGAGGCAGCAGUAGGGAAUCGUCGGCAAUGGACGGGAGUCUGACCGAGCAACGCCGAGUGAGUGAAGAAGGGUCUCGGAUCGGAAAGCUCUGUUGUAAGAGAAGAACGAGUGUGAGAGUGGAAAGUUCACACUGUGACGGUAUCUGACCAGAAAGGGACGGCUAACUACGUG
This 495-nucleotide ribosomal RNA is filed under the name uncultured bacterium. RNAcentral's name for it is "partial 16S ribosomal RNA". It matches the Rfam family "Bacterial small subunit ribosomal RNA", at positions 28 to 507 of the family's 1533-position model. The record is from RNAcentral.